AUGAACGCUAGCUACAGGCUUAACACAUGCAAGUCGAGGGGCAGCAUGUUGGUUGCUUGCAACCAACGAUGGCGACCGGCGCACGGGUGAGUAACGCGUAUCCAACCUACCCUUGUCCAUCGGAUAACCCGUCGAAAGGCGGCCUAACACGAUAUGCGGUUCACAGCAGGCAUCUAACGUGAACGAAAUGUGAAGGAGAAGGAUGGGGAUGCGUCUGAUUAGCUUGUUGGCGGGGUAACGGCCCACCAAGGCUACGAUCAGUAGGGGUUCUGAGAGGAAGGUCCCCCACAUUGGAACUGAGACACGGUCCAAACUCCUACGGGAGGCAGCAGUGAGGAAUAUUGGUCAAUGGACGAGAGUCUGAACCAGCCAAGUAGCGUGCAGGAUGACGGCCCUAUGGGUUGUAAACUGCUUUUAUAGGGGGAUAAAGUGUGCCACGUGUGGCAUAUUGCAGGUACCCUAUGAAUAAGGACCGGCUAAUUCCGUGCCAGCAGCCGCGGUAAUACGGAAGGUCCAGGCGUUAUCCGGAUUUAUUGGGUUUAAAGGGAGCGUAGGCCGUUUGGUAAGCGUGUUGCGAAAUGUCGGGGCUCAACCUGGGCAUUGCAGCGCGAACUGCCAGACUUGAGUGCGCAGGAAGUAGGCGGAAUUCGUCGUGUAGCGGUGAAAUGCUUAGAUAUGACGAAGAACUCCGAUUGCGAAGGCAGCCUGCUGUAGCGCAACUGACGCUGAAGCUCGAAAGCGUGGGUAUCGAACAGGAUUAGAUACCCUGGUAGUCCACGCGGUAAACGAUGGAUGCUCGCUGUUUGCGUCUGACGUAAGCGGCCAAGCGAAAGCGUUAAGCAUCCCACCUGGGGAGUACGCCGGCAACGGUGAAACUCAAAGGAAUUGACG
RNAcentral lists this ribosomal RNA (891 nucleotides) under uncultured bacterium. Its description in RNAcentral is "bacterial SSU rRNA". It matches the Rfam family "Bacterial small subunit ribosomal RNA", at positions 29 to 915 of the family's 1533-position model. The record is from RNAcentral.